GGCUCAGUGGUAGAGUGCUUGCCUUGCAUGCAUGAGACCCUGGGUUCGAUUCCUCAG
Molecule: transfer RNA, 57 nt
Filed under: Dipodomys ordii (Ord's kangaroo rat)
Lineage: Eukaryota; Metazoa; Chordata; Mammalia; Rodentia; Heteromyidae
Rfam family: tRNA
About the family: Transfer RNA (tRNA) molecules are approximately 80 nucleotides in length. Their secondary structure includes four short double-helical elements and three loops (D, anti-codon, and T loops).
Source: Rfam by way of RNAcentral